RNAcentral lists this unclassified non-coding RNA (311 nucleotides) under uncultured fungus. Its description in RNAcentral is "partial contains small subunit ribosomal RNA, internal transcribed spacer 1, and 5.8S ribosomal RNA". The stretch from base 1 to 73 matches the Rfam family "Eukaryotic small subunit ribosomal RNA", at positions 1759 to 1831 of the family's 1831-position model. The record is from RNAcentral. Lineage: Eukaryota; Fungi.
CCAAACUUGGUCAUUUAGAGGAAGUAAAAGUCGUAACAAGGUAACCGUAGGUGAACCUGCGGUUGGAUCAUUAACAAACCAACAAAGGCUGUCCAAAAGACGCCUAUUGUCAACAUCUGUGCACUGUUUAUGUCUCUGGUGGGUUAAAAGAGCAGCUCUCUCUUUGUUUAUAGAGAGAGAGGGCUGUUUGGAGUUGACUCUCUACCCACUUUUUAAACCUAGUUGUAUUGUUUGUCUUAUCACAAAGUAGUUUAACUUGAACAACUUUUGGCAACGGAUCUCUAGGCUCUCGCAUCAAUGAAGAACGCAGC